CCUUAUCAAGAGAGGCGGAGGGACAGGCCCUGUGAUGCCCGGCAACCUAGGGAAAAGCCAAGGAACCAUGUGGUUUGGCUGACCAAAAGGUGCCAAUUCCUGCGGUGUAUACCGAAAGAUGAGG
This 124-nucleotide non-coding RNA is filed under the name uncultured Acutalibacter sp. Its description in RNAcentral is "SAM riboswitch (S box leader)". It matches the Rfam family "SAM riboswitch aptamer (S box leader)". From Rfam's summary of the family: The SAM riboswitch is found upstream of a number of genes which code for proteins involved in methionine or cysteine biosynthesis in Gram-positive bacteria. The SAM riboswitch acts at the level of transcription termination control. The record is from RNAcentral. Lineage: Bacteria; Bacillati; Bacillota; Clostridia; Eubacteriales; Acutalibacteraceae.